GUACUUCUGAAGAGUCCCAAACUAGGACGAAACGGUUGUCAAGUAC
RNAcentral lists this non-coding RNA (46 nucleotides) under Trichobilharzia regenti. The record is from RNAcentral. Lineage: Eukaryota; Metazoa; Platyhelminthes; Trematoda; Strigeidida; Schistosomatidae.